AGCAGUAGCCGCGGUAAUACGAAGGGGGCUAGCGUUGUUCGGAUUUACUGGGCGUAAAGCGCACGUAGGCGGACUUUUAAGUCAGGGGUGAAAUCCCGGGGCUCAACCCCGGAACUGCCUUUGAUACUGGAAGUCUUGAGUAUGGUAGAGGUGAGUGGAAUUCCGAGUGUAGAGGUGAAAUUCGUAGAUAUUCGGAGGAACACCAGUGGCGAAGGCGGCUCACUGGACCAUUACUGACGCUGAGGUGCGAAAGCGCGGGGAGCAAACAGGAUUAGAUACCCCUGUAGUCCCUGUCUCUUAUAC
RNAcentral lists this ribosomal RNA (303 nucleotides) under uncultured bacterium. RNAcentral's name for it is "partial 16S ribosomal RNA". It matches the Rfam family "Bacterial small subunit ribosomal RNA", at positions 507 to 807 of the family's 1533-position model. The record is from RNAcentral.